RNAcentral lists this ribosomal RNA (253 nucleotides) under uncultured bacterium. RNAcentral's name for it is "partial 16S ribosomal RNA". It matches the Rfam family "Bacterial small subunit ribosomal RNA", at positions 524 to 776 of the family's 1533-position model. The record is from RNAcentral.
UACGUAGGUGGCAAGCGUUGUCCGGAAUUAUUGGGCGUAAAGCGCGCGCAGGCGGCCUCUUAAGUCUGAUGUGAAAGCCCCCGGCUCAACCGGGGAGGGCCAUUGGAAACUGGGAGGCUUGAGUAUAGGAGAGAAGAGUGGAAUUCCACGUGUAGCGGUGAAAUGCGUAGAGAUGUGGAGGAACACCAGUGGCGAAGGCAACUCUUUGGCCUAUAACUGACGCUGAGGCGCGAAAGCGUGGGGAGCAAACAGG